GACGAACGCUGGCGGCGUGCUUAACACAUGCAAGUCGAACGGAAAGGCCCUGCUUUUGUGGGGUGCUCGAGUGGCGAACGGGUGAGUAACACGUGAGUAACCUGCCCUUGACUUCGGGAUAACUUCAGGAAAAUGGGGCUAAUACCGGAUAGGAGCUUCUGCUGCAUGGUGGGGGUUGGAAAGUUUCGGCGGUUGGGGAUGGACGCGCGGCUUAUCAGCUUGUUGGUGGGGUAGUGGCUUACCAAGGCUUUGACGGGUAGCCGGCCUGAGAGGGUGACCGGCCACAGUGGGACUGAGGUACGGCCCAGACUCCUACGGGAGGCAGCAGUGGGGAAUAUUGCACAAUAGGCGGAAGCCUGAUGCAGCGACGCCGCGUGCGGGAUGACGGCCUUCGGGUUGUAAACCGCUUUCGCCUGUAACGAAGCGAGAGUGACGGUAAUGGGUAAGGAAGCACCGGCUAACUACGUG
This 468-nucleotide ribosomal RNA is filed under the name uncultured bacterium. RNAcentral describes it as "partial 16S ribosomal RNA". It matches the Rfam family "Bacterial small subunit ribosomal RNA", at positions 28 to 507 of the family's 1533-position model. The record is from RNAcentral.